AGACCGAUAGCGAACAAGUAGAGUGAUCGAAAGAUGAAAAGCACUUUGAAAAGAGAGUUAAAAAGUACGUGAAAUUGUUGAAAGGGAAGCGUUUAUGACCAGACUUGGGCUUGGUUAAUCAUCUGGGGUUCUCCCCAGUGCACUUUUCCAGUCCAGGCCAGCAUCAGUUUUCCCCGGGGGAUAAAGGCGGCGGGAAUGUGGCUCUCUUCGGGGAGUGUUAUAGCCCACCGUGUAAUACCCUGGGGGGGACUGAGGUUCGCGCAUCUGCAAGGAUGCUGGCGUAAUGGUCAUCAACGACCCGUCUUGAAACACGGACCAAG
Molecule: ribosomal RNA, 320 nt
Filed under: Fusarium oxysporum
Lineage: Eukaryota; Fungi; Ascomycota; Sordariomycetes; Hypocreales; Nectriaceae
Also listed under: 1 other name
Description: partial large subunit ribosomal RNA
Rfam family: Eukaryotic large subunit ribosomal RNA
Source: RNAcentral